This 640-nucleotide ribosomal RNA is filed under the name uncultured beta proteobacterium. Its description in RNAcentral is "bacterial SSU rRNA". It matches the Rfam family "Bacterial small subunit ribosomal RNA", at positions 123 to 757 of the family's 1533-position model. The record is from RNAcentral. Lineage: Bacteria; Pseudomonadati; Pseudomonadota; Betaproteobacteria.
AACGUCCUUUUCAGUGAGGGAUAACGUAGCGAAAGUUACGCUAAUACCGCAUAUUCUCUGAGGAGGAAAAGCAGGGGACCUUCGGGCCUUGCGCUGAUAGAGCGGCCGAUAUCAGAUUAGCUAGUUGGUGGGGUAAAGGCCUACCAAGGCGACGAUCUGUAGCGGGUCUGAGAGGAUGAUCCGCCACACUGGGACUGAGACACGGCCCAGACUCCUACGGGAGGCAGCAGUGGGGAAUUUUGGACAAUGGGCGAAAGCCUGAUCCAGCCAUGCCGCGUGAGUGAAGAAGGCCUUCGGGUUGUAAAGCUCUUUCGGCCGGGAAGAAAUCGCACAGGCUAAUACCUUGUGUGGAUGACGGUACCGGAAUAAGAAGCACCGGCUAACUACGUGCCAGCAGCCGCGGUAAUACGUAGGGUGCGAGCGUUAAUCGGAAUUACUGGGCGUAAAGCGUGCGCAGGCGGUUUGGUAAGACAGGCGUGAAAUCCCCGGGCUCAACCUGGGAACUGCGCUUGUGACUGCCUCACUAGAGUACGGCAGAGGGGGGUGGAAUUCCACGUGUAGCAGUGAAAUGCGUAGAGAUGUGGAGGAACACCGAUGGCGAAGGCAGCCCCCUGGGCCGAUACUGACGCUCAUGCACGAA